RNAcentral lists this ribosomal RNA (412 nucleotides) under uncultured microorganism. Its description in RNAcentral is "bacterial SSU rRNA". It matches the Rfam family "Bacterial small subunit ribosomal RNA", at positions 9 to 417 of the family's 1533-position model. The record is from RNAcentral.
GAGUUUGAUCAUGGCUCAGAUUGAACGCUGGCGGCAUGCCUUACACAUGCAAGUCGAACGGCAGCAUGAUCUAGCUUGCUAGAUUGAUGGCGAGUGGCGAACGGGUGAGUAAUCCAUCGGAACGUGCCCUGUAGUGGGGGAUAACUAGUCGAAAGAUUAGCUAAUACCGCAUACGACCUGAGGGUGAAAGUGGGGGACCGCAAGGCCUCAUGCUAUAGGAGCGGCCGAUGUCUGAUUAGCUAGUUGGUGGGGUAAAGGCCCACCAAGGCGACGAUCAGUAGCUGGUCUGAGAGGACGAUCAGCCACACUGGGACUGAGACACGGCCCAGACUCCUACGGGAGGCAGCAGUGGGGAAUUUUGGACAAUGGGGGCAACCCUGAUCCAGCAAUGCCGCGUGUGUGAAGAAGGCCU